Molecule: ribosomal RNA, 450 nt
Filed under: uncultured bacterium
Lineage: Bacteria
Description: partial 16S ribosomal RNA
Rfam family: Bacterial small subunit ribosomal RNA
Source: RNAcentral
GUGGGGAAUAUUGGACAAUGGGCGAAAGCCUGAUCCAGCCAUGCCGCGUGUGUGAAGAAGGUCUUCGGAUUGUAAAGCACUUUAAGUUGGGAGGAAGGGUAGUAACCUAAUACGUUGCUACUUUGACGUUACCGACAGAAUAAGCACCGGCUAACUUCGUGCCAGCAGCCGCGGUAAUACGAAGGGUGCAAGCGUUAAUCGGAAUUACUGGGCGUAAAGCGCGCGUAGGUGGUUUUGUAAGUUGGAGGUGAAAUCCCCGGGCUCAACCUGGGAACUGCCUCCAAAACUGCAUGACUAGAGUACGGUAGAGGGUAGUGGAAUUUCCUGUGUAGCGGUGAAAUGCGUAGAUAUAGUAAGGAACACCAGUGGCGAAGGCGACUACCUGGACUGAUACUGACACUGAGGUGCGAAAGCGUGGGGAGCAAACAGGAUUAGAAACCCUUGUAGUCC